This 797-nucleotide long non-coding RNA is filed under the name Panax ginseng (ginseng). Its description in RNAcentral is "long non-coding RNA (PGIN_LNC018007)". Lineage: Eukaryota; Viridiplantae; Streptophyta; Magnoliopsida; Apiales; Araliaceae. The record is from RNAcentral.
CAAAAUAUUGUAUUAUGGAAAAAUUUCAGUUCCAUAAAAUAUUAAAUUUUUUUUUUACUUGUUUUAAAAAAAAAGCAAAAAAUAAUAAAAAAAAAUAAAAAUCCGUAAGUUAAGAAAAUCCGAGAUCCCUGGGAUCCUGGUUCUAUAUGGCUAUAUGUAUAUAGAUAGCUAUGUAGUACAUCUAUGAUGACAGUUUUUUGGGUUAUAGUGACAGUUUUUUUGGGUUAUAGCUACAGCUGUGUAUAUACAUUUUCUUCAUAUAUAUAUAUAUAUAUAUAUAUAGCCGAACUAAAAACAUAAUGGGCCCAAACAAUAGAAAUGGUCGACCUCAGUCCUCCGCUUCCAUCACUAAACCUCAUGUUUUCUUUCCUUUGGGUUGCUGCACAAAAUAAUCCGGGUCGGGUCAAAAGUCGAGUAUUGAACAAGAAUUUGAGACAUAUGUACAACCCUUAGAUUCAACAUUUUAAUUAAAAUUAGUGCGUGCCAUUGAUUGAGAUCAGAAAGCUUGAUGAUUUUUAUAUCUAGGGUGUGACAGAUCAAAUUUUAGGCUAAUGACAUUUGCAAAUGAUGUUGGAUUUGCACAUCUUACCUUAAAAGUUGCCAGUAAAUGGACAAAGAUAUCUGCCAUUACCAUAAAGUCCAUUGCUAGAUUGGUACGCGAUAAUUGAAGGGGCGAGAUGGGAAGGGAUAGCCGUUUAGAGAUCGACCUUGUCAUUGGCAUUAUGAUCAGCACAAAUGACUGCUCUAGAUUGAGAUUAAUAAAUUACAACUUUUACAUUUUACCAAACAGGAAAUAA